This 253-nucleotide ribosomal RNA is filed under the name uncultured bacterium. RNAcentral describes it as "partial 16S ribosomal RNA". It matches the Rfam family "Bacterial small subunit ribosomal RNA", at positions 524 to 776 of the family's 1533-position model. The record is from RNAcentral.
UACGAAGGGGGCUAGCGUUACUCGGAAUUACUGGGCGUAAAGCGUGCGCAGGCGGCUUAGUAAGUUGGAAGUGAAAGCCUAGGGCUCAACCCUAGAACUGCUUUCAAAACUGCUUGGCUAGAGUGUCAGAGGGGAUAGCGGAAUUCCUAGUGUAGAAGUGAAAUUCGUAGAUAUUAGGAGGAACACCGAAAGCGAAAGCGGCUAUCUGGCUGAAUACUGACGCUGUUGCACGAAAGCGUGGGGAGCAAACAGG